RNAcentral lists this ribosomal RNA (497 nucleotides) under uncultured bacterium. RNAcentral's name for it is "partial 16S ribosomal RNA". It matches the Rfam family "Bacterial small subunit ribosomal RNA", at positions 28 to 507 of the family's 1533-position model. The record is from RNAcentral.
GAUGAACGCUGGCGGCGUGCCUAAUACAUGCAAGUCGAGCGUACGGACGAGAAGCUUGCUUUUCUGAUGUUAGCGGCGGACGGGUGAGUAACACGUGGAUAACCUACCUAUAAGACUGGGAUAACUUCGGGAAACCGGAGCUAAUACCGGAUAAUAUUUUGAACCGCAUGGUUCAAAAGUGAAAGACGGUCUUGCUGUCACUUAUAGAUGGAUCCGCGCUGCAUUAGCUAGUUGGUAAGGUAACGGCUUACCAAGGCAACGAUGCAUAGCCGACCUGAGAGGGUGAUCGGCCACACUGGAACUGAGACACGGUCCAGACUCCUACGGGAGGCAGCAGUAGGGAAUCUUCCGCAAUGGGCGAAAGCCUGACGGAGCAACGCCGCGUGAGUGAUGAAGGUCUUCGGAUCGUAAAACUCUGUUAUUAGGGAAGAACAUAUGUGUAAGUAACUGUGCACAUCUUGACGGUACCUAAUCAGAAAGCCACGGCUAACUACGUG